RNAcentral lists this transfer RNA (73 nucleotides) under Aeromonas caviae. RNAcentral describes it as "tRNA-Arg". Lineage: Bacteria; Pseudomonadati; Pseudomonadota; Gammaproteobacteria; Aeromonadales; Aeromonadaceae. The record is from RNAcentral.
GUACAUGUAAGAUGGAUAGAGCAGGCGCCUUCUAAGCGCCCGGUCGCCGGUUCGAGUCCGGCUGUGAGCGCCA